UGGGGAAUAUUGGACAAUGGCCUAAAGCCUGAUCCAGCCAUGCCGCGUGAGUGAUGAAGGCCUUAGGGUUGUAAAGCUCUUUCAGUAGGGAAGAUAAUGACGGUACCUACAGAAGAAGCCCCGGCUAACUUCGUGCCGGCAGCCGCGGUAAUACGAAGGGGGCUAGCGUUGUUCGGAUUUACUGGGCGUAAAGCGCACGUAGGCGGAUCGUUAAGUCGGGGGUGAAAUCCUGGAGCUCAACUCCAGAACUGCCUUCGAUACUGGCGAUCUUGAGUCCGGAAGAGGUGAGUGGAACUCCUAGUGUAGAGGUGGAAUUCGUAGAUAUUAGGAAGAACACCAGUGGCGAAGGCGGCUCACUGGUCCGGUACUGACGCUGAGGCGCGAAAGCGUGGGGAGCAAACAGGAUUAGAUACCCUGGUAGUCCACGCCGUAAACUAUGAGAGCUAGCCGUUGGAGGGUUUACCCUUCAGUGGCGCAGCUAACGCAUUAAGCUCUCCGCCUGGGGAGUACGGUCGCAAGAUUA
This 523-nucleotide ribosomal RNA is filed under the name uncultured bacterium. RNAcentral describes it as "bacterial SSU rRNA". It matches the Rfam family "Bacterial small subunit ribosomal RNA", at positions 355 to 896 of the family's 1533-position model. The record is from RNAcentral.